UUGGAGAUGCUCUUAGCAUUCAAAUUAAAGAAUCACAUACUUUUAUUAUUAAGUUACCAAAAUAGAAAAAGGUCUUGCCAGUAUGGCUCUGAAAUUUGAUAUUACAAUGCAGAGAUUUUUGCAAAAUUGACCUACAACUUAAAGUCAAACACAAAACUAACCUCCCUUUUUUUUGAAAAUUGGUUUUGCCCUAUUCACUCCACAAGUUCAUAUAAUUUACGAAAAUGCCACCAGUUUUUUUUUUUUUUUUCGAAAAUGACAUUUUUACUCUCUCACCCUCAUCAUCUUCAAGUAAUUACAAGAUUGCCAUUGUCAUCAAUACCACAACCACCAUGAACAACCAAUUUGAAGCUCUUAAUGCUCCCAAAAUC
This 371-nucleotide long non-coding RNA is filed under the name Brassica rapa (field mustard). RNAcentral's name for it is "long non-coding RNA (BRAP_LNC004179)". Lineage: Eukaryota; Viridiplantae; Streptophyta; Magnoliopsida; Brassicales; Brassicaceae. The record is from RNAcentral.